CUAGGUAAUCUUGUGAGUAUGCAUCGUGAUGGGGAUAGAUUAUUGCAAUUAUUAAUCUUCAACGAGGAAUGCCUAGUAGGCGCAAGUCAGUCAGCUUGCGCCGAUUACGUCCCUGCCCUUUGUACACACCGCCCGUCGCUCCUACCGAUUGAGUGUUCCGGUGAAUUAUUCGGACCGUUUUGUGGCGCGUUCGUGCCCGAAAUGGGAAGUUUUGUGAACCUUAACACUUAGAGGAAGGAGAAGUCGUAACAAGGU
This 255-nucleotide ribosomal RNA is filed under the name Toxoplasma gondii ME49. RNAcentral describes it as "Toxoplasma gondii rRNA TGME49_460510". It matches the Rfam family "Eukaryotic small subunit ribosomal RNA", at positions 1542 to 1800 of the family's 1831-position model. The record is from RNAcentral. Lineage: Eukaryota; Apicomplexa; Conoidasida; Eucoccidiorida; Sarcocystidae.